Molecule: long non-coding RNA, 350 nt
Filed under: Eucalyptus grandis
Lineage: Eukaryota; Viridiplantae; Streptophyta; Magnoliopsida; Myrtales; Myrtaceae
Description: long non-coding RNA (EGRA_LNC006879)
Source: RNAcentral
UAUGCUAGAGCAUUUUUUGAGUGGAGACUCUAGGUAAGCCAACCAGCAAUCCACAUGCACAGUGCCUAUUAAAGAAACUAUUGCAUCAUCUUUGGUGUCAGAUGUUUCAGAUGAAGCAUGCUGCAUUAGCGACACAGGCUUGUUUGCUUAUACACAUUUUAAUUUCUCAAACCAUAUGCAGAUAUUCUGGGGUACGAUAAAUCGAGACACCGUUGCUUGGAUGAAGACAUUGUGCAAGAAGGCCCUGGGCCUUUAAGAAACUUGACUUCCCAUCUUUUGGGACGCUUGCUGUCUCAAUUUGAGUUUAGAGUAUGGCAAUGCUAGAGUUUUAAGGGAGAAGUGCCAAAAAA